GUGUUAUCAUCGAAUUGGUAAUUGUCUCACUGACAUUUAAAGUAGGAUCGGAGGUUACGCCACUCCACUCUACGCCACUCUAUCGAGCUUCGCAGUAUAUCGAAGGGAACCCUCCCCCGAAUGCGAUUUAAGCAACGCGCCUACGUCAACAUCUGUGCGCGGCCGCCUCAUAUUCGGCCCUUUUUUACAUUCGAGGAAAUGAGACGCCCAGAGGGCACCGCCAUCACCACCCAUCAAAUUCCCUCUCGACCGAGACCGCGCUCCCGCCCCCCCACCUGCAACGAGGAAACCCAAGCUAGUGUCGGCCGAUCAUUACACGACCCGUUUAACAUUUAACAAACAAAAAACGAAACGUUCGCAUAACUGAACUUCAAGUUAUUAAUGAACGAGUCUCUUCCUCUAAUUUAAUUUUACAUUUUAAAUUCAUAAACCUAUGUUAGUGUGAUACAUUUACAUAUAUAUAUAUAUACAUAAAUCCUAUCCUUUUAUUAAGCUUAU
This 498-nucleotide unclassified non-coding RNA is filed under the name Bombus terrestris (buff-tailed bumblebee). RNAcentral's name for it is "misc RNA ENSBTSG00005023507.1". Lineage: Eukaryota; Metazoa; Arthropoda; Insecta; Hymenoptera; Apidae. The record is from RNAcentral.